AGAGUUUGAUUCUGGCUCAGGAUGAACGCUAGCGAUAGGCCUAACACAUGCAAGUCGAGGGGCAGCACAUGAAGUAGCAAUACGGAUGGUGGCGACCGGCGCACGGGUGAGUAACGCGUAUGCAACCUGCCUACAACAGGGGAAUAACCCGUUGAAAGACGGACUAAUACCCCAUAACACAGGGAUCCCGCAUGGGAAUAUUUGUUAAAGAUUUAUCGGUUGUAGAUGGGCAUGCGUUCCAUUAGCUUGUUGGUGAGGUAACGGCUCACCAAGGCAACGAUGGAUAGGGGAACUGAGAGGUUUAUCCCCCACACUGGUACUGAGACACGGACCAGACUCCUACGGGAGGUAGCAGUGAGGAAUAUUGGUCAAUGGACGCAAGUCUGAACCAGCCACGUCGCGUGAAGGAAGACGGCCCUACGGGUUGUAAACUUCUUUUGUAAGGGAAUAAAGUGUAGUACGUGUACUAUUUUGCAUGUACCUUACGAAUAAGGAUCGGCUAACUCCGUGCCAGCAGCCGCGGUAAUACGGAGGAUCCGAGCGUUAUCCGGAUUUAUUGGGUUUAAAGGGUGCGCAGGCGGGAGAUUAAGUCGGCGGUGAAAUUUUGCAGCUCAACUGUAAAAGUGCCUUCGAAACUGGUUUCCUUGAGUGUGGAUGAAGUAGGCGGAAUUUGUGGUGUAGCGGUGAAAUGCAUAGAUAUCACGAGGAACUCCGAUUGCGCAGGCAGCUUACUAAACCAUAACUGACGCUCAGGCACGAAGGCGUGGGGAUCAAACAGGAUUAGAUACCCUGGUAGUC
This 798-nucleotide ribosomal RNA is filed under the name uncultured Porphyromonadaceae bacterium. Its description in RNAcentral is "bacterial SSU rRNA". It matches the Rfam family "Bacterial small subunit ribosomal RNA", at positions 8 to 795 of the family's 1533-position model. The record is from RNAcentral. Lineage: Bacteria; Pseudomonadati; Bacteroidota; Bacteroidia; Bacteroidales; Porphyromonadaceae.